This is a long non-coding RNA of Canis lupus familiaris (dog), 712 nucleotides long. RefSeq lists it as uncharacterized. The record is from RefSeq and is a predicted model, not a curated record. Lineage: Eukaryota; Metazoa; Chordata; Mammalia; Carnivora; Canidae. The transcript is spliced from 3 exons.
CUCUUUUCUUGCUAGGCCACUUCUGGCAGUGGCCAGGUUCCUGUGCUGAAGGCUACAAGUACUGUUAGGCAACUCUCUCCUAUAACCACAUCUACAGAUUUCACUUCUGCUGGUCUACGUUCCGGUUGUCUUUUAAAACUAAAUCUGUGAAGUGUGGCAUGAUACAACUGCAAUCCCCACUCUUCCAAUGCUCAUUCUGAAGGAAAAAAGGAAUGCAGAAAACAGCAACAACAACAACAACCAUAACAAUGAAACGAAGCAAAAGAUGACUUACUGACUUCCCAGGAGCUCCCUACAUGCAGGCACCAAGGCAAAGUCACUUUCUCAAGAUUUGCAGCAUUGAAAACAUUAACUCACUGAACACAGUGAAACUGAAAACUUCAACAAAGUCUGCAACAGGAAAAAUGCAGUCUCUGCCCAAGUCCUGUAAUUCUAAAGCUUCCUAAUAUCAUUGAAAUGGUCUUUUAUCUUUGCAUCAAAUACAAACAUUUUGUAAAAUAUAAAAGAAAACUCCCUUUUUUUGACCAUGAUAGAUUUUUUACUACCUGAUUUGGAGCAAACAUAAGCUAGAGGUUGGUGUUUGGUGAACGUCACACAGCACAGGCAACUUGGAAAGUGCAUCCAAAUAAUAUCAAACUGUUGUAAACAGUUGCCUUAGGGAGUUGCAACCUACAUGAAUAUUAAAAAAUUAAGUUUAUUAAAAUCUAAGUGA